GAUGAACGCUGGCGGCGUGCCUAAUACAUGCAAGUCGAGCGAACAGACGAGGAGCUUGCUCCUCUGACGUUAGCGGCGGACGGGUGAGUAACACGUGGAUAACCUACCUAUAAGACUGGGAUAACUUCGGGAAACCGGAGCUAAUACCGGAUAAUAUAUUGAACCGCAUGGUUCAAUAGUGAAAGACGGUUUUGCUGUCACUUAUAGAUGGAUCCGCGCCGCAUUAGCUAGUUGGUAAGGUAACGGCUUACCAAGGCAACGAUGCGUAGCCGACCUGAGAGGGUGAUCGGCCACACUGGAACUGAGACACGCUCCAGCCUCCUACGGGAGGCAGCAGUAGGGAAUCUUCCGCAAUGGGCGAAAGCCUGACGGAGCCACGCCGCGUGAGUGAUGAAGGUCUUCGGAUCGUAAAACUCUGUUAUUAGGGAAGAACAAAUGUGUAAGUAACUAUGCACGUCUUGACGGUACCUAAUCAGAAAGCCACGGCUAACUACGU
This 496-nucleotide ribosomal RNA is filed under the name uncultured bacterium. RNAcentral describes it as "partial 16S ribosomal RNA". It matches the Rfam family "Bacterial small subunit ribosomal RNA", at positions 28 to 506 of the family's 1533-position model. The record is from RNAcentral.